UACGUAGGGUGCGAGCGUUAAUCGGAAUUACUGGGCGUAAAGCGUGCGUAGGCGGUUUCAUAAGCUUGAUGUGAAAGCCCCGGGCUUAACCUGGGAAUGGCAUUGAGGACUGUGGAGCUAGAGUGCGGCAGAGGGAGGUGGAAUUCCAGGUGUAGCAGUGAAAUGCGUAGAGAUCUGGAGGAACACCGAUGGCGAAGGCAGCCUCCUGGGCCGACACUGACGCUGAGGGCACGAAAGCGUGGGGAGCAAACAGG
This 254-nucleotide ribosomal RNA is filed under the name uncultured bacterium. RNAcentral describes it as "partial 16S ribosomal RNA". It matches the Rfam family "Bacterial small subunit ribosomal RNA", at positions 524 to 776 of the family's 1533-position model. The record is from RNAcentral.